This 304-nucleotide ribosomal RNA is filed under the name uncultured bacterium. RNAcentral's name for it is "partial 16S ribosomal RNA". It matches the Rfam family "Bacterial small subunit ribosomal RNA", at positions 506 to 807 of the family's 1533-position model. The record is from RNAcentral.
CAGCAGUAGCCACGGUAAUACGUAGGGUGCAAGCGUUAAUCGGAAUUACUGGGCGCAAAGCGUGCGCAGGCGGUUCGUUAAGACAGAUGUGAAAUCCCCGGGCUUAACCUGGGAACUGCAUUUGAGACUGUAUGGCUAGAGUGUGUCAGAGGGGGGUAGAACUCCACGUGUAGCAGUGAAAUGCGUAGAUAUGUGGAGGAAUACCGAUGGCGAAGGCAGCCCCCUGGGAUAACACUGACGCUCAUGCACGAAAGCGUGGGGAGCAAACAGGAUUAGAUACCCCCGUAGUCCCUGUCUCUUAUAC